GCGUGGGUAGUAUAAUGGUUAUUAUCUCGGUUUCCCAUCAUAUGGCGUUGAUUGAGUAAUCACGACACUCUUACCGAGGAACCGGGUUCGAUUCCCGGCUCACGCA
Rhizoctonia solani is the source of this 106-nucleotide non-coding RNA. The record is from the annotation of a RefSeq genome assembly. Lineage: Eukaryota; Fungi; Basidiomycota; Agaricomycetes; Cantharellales; Ceratobasidiaceae.